Molecule: long non-coding RNA, 1830 nt
Organism: Mustela putorius furo (domestic ferret)
Lineage: Eukaryota; Metazoa; Chordata; Mammalia; Carnivora; Mustelidae
Source: Ensembl
GUUGGCUUUGAUGAUGGGUUUCCUUAAGUGGAGACCCAGGCUCUCAAGUCUCUUACCCUGUCCUUGUAGUAAUGAAGAUCAUCUUCCAUCCAGCGUUCAACACCUACAAGAUGGACAUCGAGCCCUGCAUGAGGAAAGCUGUGAUGUCUCCAGUGCAGCGCAGCAGGAGGCUGUUUGAGAUCGUGCUGUCCCACAGGUGGGCCACGGCGGCCUACAGCCAGGGUGAGGGCAGGGUGGUCACCAUGGAGGGUGAAGUGGCUCGAGUGCUCAGCUUUGACACAGGAUCUGGGGUGACUCUUGGGCUCCAGGGUCUGAAAUCUUUGGAAGAAUUCGUUUGCAAGAUUGCAACAGCCAUGGAUCAGAGCAACAUCUUGGAAGCUUUGGCCACCAAAACAGGACACUCCAGGCCGGUGGCGGAACGCUUUACACGGAAUGGACUCCUCGCCACGGGUUUUAAGUGACUGGGGGGCAACACGCUGCCUCCCGUGCAGUUCAUUCUCCUCGGGUACUGUUCAUUCUCCUCGCUGAGGGCAGAGAGUAGCCAGGAAUGAAAUUAAGCUGAAAUGGAAUUUCGAGAAUGGUGCCAAGUUAGCAGUAAUAUAGUAAAACUACACUGAAAUUUGAGGCCUUGAAAUGUAAAUUAAAUGACAUUUCCAAAUGUGAGGGUCUGAUUUGGAGAUGUCACUGCAGUAGAAAUGUGCUCAGCGGGGGAGAGUGCCUAGCUGUGUGGCCUAGAGAAAAAUGAGCCUUCCUGCUUAGGCCUGAAGACUCUCAUAAGAAAACAAAAUCACUCUUAAUGCUCAGGGAAUCAAGUUCUGUCUCUUUAAAGCAAAUGUGGCAGGAGGUUAACAAUGAGUGUGUCUAGGUCUGUGUGUUCCGUGAGAUGGUGAUAUGGGCAGUCAUUGUACUUGUCUCAACUUUUCUCAACGUUUGAAAAAUUUCAUAAUAAAACGUUGGGAGAAUGGAAUAAACUAGAUCACCAUAAAUAAAUAAAAGUAGAACAGAUACAGUGUCCUAGAAAAUAAAAAGACAGCACUUUCAAUAAAAACACAGCUUUAUGAACAAUUCACUUCUUUUACUUUUUUUUUCCCUCAUUUUCUCAUGGAGGAACAAAAACCCUUGGGCACCCCAGUACUGAGGACGCUCUAUUCUAGAAAGAUAGCACACAGGAGAAUGUUGGUAGAGAGGAUGAGUUUGGGGCUAGACUUCUUGUCUGGAUUCUAAUGCCAGAGCCUGCUAGCUCUUGUUCACUGAGUGACCACGGACAAGUUACUUAAAUUCUGUGUGCCCCAGUUUCUUCAUCUGUAAAAACAGGGGUAGUAACAGAAUAAAGAAAGUUGGUAAUUGACAUGAGCUGAGUUCGGUUCCAAAGAUAAUUACAGGAAACCCUACCACAAGAACUCACCCUAGUCUCUGUAUACCUGUACAUCUUGGUUCAAACUUCUCUUAAAACCCUCAAACCAUAGUUCUCUGCGUGUCUGUAAGUCUUAUCUGAAUUGAUUUGGUUUCUGACUGCAAGGGAUGUUUCAUUUUUCGUUUCUUUUUUUUUUUCUCAGACACAUGACAUAACUUUUUCCUUACUCAUUGUGUGUUCGAAUGAAUCUGUGAAAUCCCAACACACCUGCCUAUGUAAGGCCACACUGACCAGAGGGAGUUUUCUCUGGGAAGCCUGUUCAGUAUUCUUCCUCACUGGUUACCUUCCACGAGAAGUUUGUCAGAGGAGCCAGGAGGCUUCUCAGGUCUCAUAAGCAUACUGCGUUUGGCACCAACACAGAAAAGUUAAUGUCCCAUAGUUUGGCUAUUGUGGACAUUGCUGCUAUAAACAAUAUA